RNAcentral lists this long non-coding RNA (697 nucleotides) under Marmota monax (woodchuck). Lineage: Eukaryota; Metazoa; Chordata; Mammalia; Rodentia; Sciuridae. The record is from RNAcentral.
GCAUUGGGGAGGAAGAAGAGAUGCAUUUACAAUUAUAAAAGAGAAAGUUCAGGCCACAUGAAAAAUAUAGUAGGAGUGUAGCUAUGCAGGCCAGGCCAAGUAUUGAUAUAGAUAUGCACACUAUGUUGUCUUAAACAUUAUUAAAGAUGAAUUGCAAUUUUUCCUGAUUCUUGGUGGUCCAAAACAGAAAGGUUAAACAGAACAACUUACAUGAUUUUACUAUUUAUAAAGGAAACCCACCCAGAUGUCAAAUGUUAAAAUCACUUUUCAUCACAGUUCAAACUGAAACAAAGCAGAAAGAGGACAGAAAUUCCUCAGAGAGGAAAAUGAGCUGGCAUUGGGUCUUUAGGACAACUUUCCUUUUCUAGCAUUUUAGGAAGAAAUCUUCCAAAGUUAUUUGUUUUUCAGAGUUUGAAAGUAACACUACAUGUGCAAACGUUCUAAUGAAUUUUCUUAAAAAAUACUCAGAAAUGUUUAAAAGUUUCAUAACAAUUGCAUUUUGUAUAUAUAUAGUCAAAUCUGACUUUACUAGACUCUGACAUUUUGGUUACAUUAAGUAAUCAUCCACAAUAAAAAUAUACAUAGAUAAUAGAUUUAUAACCACAUGGCUUCCAUUUGUUAAUGUUAGUGUACUGAACAACUGCAGAACAGAUAAAGAAAAUAUACAUUUGAGGGGGGGAAUUCUCAUUAUUGCCUG